AACGAACGCUGGCGGCGUGCCUAACACAUGCAAGUCGUGCGAGAAAGUCCCUUCGGGAGCGAGUAAAGCGGCGCACGGGUGAGUAACACGUAGGUAACCUGCCCCCCAGUCUGGAACAACUAGAGGAAACUCUAGCUAAUGCCGGAUGAGACCACGAUCCCUUCGGGGGUUGCGGCCAAAGAUGGCCUCUACUUGUAAGCUAUCGCUGAGGGAUGGGCCUGCGGGCCAUUAGCUUGUUGGUGAGGUAACGGCUCACCAAGGCUGUGAUGGCUAGCUGGUCUGAGAGGAUGACCAGCCACACUGGGACUGAGACACGGCCCAGACUCCUACGGGAGGCAGCAGUGGGGAAUAUUGCGCAAUGGGCGAAAGCCUGACGCAGCGACGCCGCGUGGGUGAUGAAGGCCU
Molecule: ribosomal RNA, 405 nt
Filed under: uncultured bacterium
Lineage: Bacteria
Description: bacterial SSU rRNA
Rfam family: Bacterial small subunit ribosomal RNA
Source: RNAcentral